This 1664-nucleotide ribosomal RNA is filed under the name Trichodina sp. RNAcentral describes it as "partial large subunit ribosomal RNA". It matches the Rfam family "Eukaryotic large subunit ribosomal RNA", at positions 50 to 1802 of the family's 3401-position model. The record is from RNAcentral. Lineage: Eukaryota; Ciliophora; Oligohymenophorea; Mobilida; Trichodinidae.
GCGGAGGAAAAGAAACUAACCAGGAUUGUCUCAGUAGCGGCGAGUGAAGAGACAUCAGCCCAGAUUUAGAAUUGUAAUCUCGGAAGCAAUUCCAACCUCAAAGAACGGCAGAACUUACCUGGAACGGUAGGCCACAGAAGGUAACAGCCCUGUACUGUCGGGAAGUGUGGACGGAAGGCGUGGAGAGUCGGGUUGUUUGGGAAUGCAGCCCUAAGUAGGAGAUAGACAUCUUCUAAGGCUAAAUACCGGUGGGAGACCGAUAGCGCACAAGUACUGCGAAGGAAAGAUGAAAAGAACUUUGGAAAGAGGGUUAAAAGACGUGAAAUCGUUGAAGUGGAACUGAUCGCAGCCCGUCCAGGCUAUAACUCCGUGCUACCUCUAAAGCCCCCCGGACUCCAAUCCCAAGGCCUAUGAGGGAAGUACUGUUGUAGCACGUCCCCGCAUCAGUUCCAGUGCUGCUAAUCAAGUGGUUCAAGUUAGGGUCCACCCGGAUCAGCACUGGGACUGAGGUCGAUGCGAGGAAAGCGACUGUGAUCGACCCGUCUUGAAACACGGACCAAGGAGUCUAACUGUCGUGCGAGUGGGAGGGUGGCAAACCCGAACGCGUACCGAAAGGGAGUAUAAGGUGCUAGGACAACCGCAGCACCAGCAAGCGCGAGCUUAGCAAGAGCACGAGGGUUAGGACCCGAAAGAUGGUGAACUAUGCCCGAGUAGGGUGAAGCCAGGGGAAACUCUGGUGGAGGCUCGAAGCGUUACUGACGUGCAAAUCGUUCGUCGAACUUGGGUGUAGGGGCGAAAGACUAAUCGAACCAUCUAGUAGCUGGUUCCCUCUGAAAUUUCUCUCAGGAUAGCGGGGACAGAACAGUUUUAUCAGGUAAAGCGAAUGAUUAGAGUACUCGGGAAACAGAGUUUCUUGAACUAUUCUCAAACUUUCAAUUGGUAAGAGCCUCCAGGUUAUCUCGAUUGAACCUGGAGGGACAAUGUCUGUCCUCAGUGGGCCAUUUUUGGUAAGCAGAACUGGCGAUGAGGGAUGAACCUAACGUCGGGCUAAAGUGCCCAAUUUCACGCUCAUGAGACACCAAAAAAGGUGUUGGUUCAUUUAAACAGCAGGACGGUGGCCAUGGAAGUCGGAACCCGCUAAGGAGUGUGUAACAACUCACCUGCCGAAUGAACCAGCCCUGAAAAUUGAUGGCGCUAGAGCGUGGGACCGAUACCCGACCAUUCGGACACUGAAGUUCGAAUGAGUAAGAGGGCGCAUACAUCGUGGAGAAGACUCUGGCGUGAGCCUGGUUGGAACGAUGUUUGGUGCAGAUCUUGGUGGUAGUAGCAAAUAUUCAAGUGAGAAUCUUGAAGGCCGAAGUGGAGAAGGGUUCCGUGAGAACAGCAUUUGGUCACGGGUUACUCGGUCCUAAGGCAUAGGGAAAUUCCUUGCAAUGCACGCGAACUUUCGUACUGCCGAAAGGGAACGGGGUUAAUAUUCCCUCGAGCUGGGUGUGGAGGCCAAGUGGUAACACCAGCGAACCCGGAGACGCCUGCGCUUACCCCUGGAAGAGUUAUCUUUUCUUCUUGACAAAAUCUACUCCCCGGAAUUUGGCUUAGCCAGAGGUGGGGAGAAGAAAUGGCAGAGCAGCUUAUAUGAGGCUGUUAGGAGCGUAAGCGAGGGC